This 496-nucleotide ribosomal RNA is filed under the name uncultured bacterium. Its description in RNAcentral is "partial 16S ribosomal RNA". It matches the Rfam family "Bacterial small subunit ribosomal RNA", at positions 29 to 507 of the family's 1533-position model. The record is from RNAcentral.
AUGAACGCUGGCGGCGUGCCUAAUACAUGCAAGUCGAGCGCACAGACGAGGAGCUUGCUCCUCUGACGUUAGCGGCGGACGGGUGAGUAACACGUGGAUAACCUACCUAUAAGACUGGGAUAACUUCGGGAAACCGGAGCUAAUACCGGAUAAUAUAUUGAACCGCAUGGUUCAAUAGUGAAAGACGGUUUUGCUGUCACUUAUAGAUGGAUCCGCACCGCAUUAGCUAGUUGGUAAGGUAACGGCUUACCAAGGCAACGAUGCGUAGCCGACCUGAGAGGGUGAUCGGCCACACUGGAACUGAGACACGGUCCAGACUCCUACGGGAGGCAGCAGUAGGGAAUCUUCCGCAAUGGGCGAAAGCCUGACGGAGCAACGCCGCGUGAGUGAUGAAGGUCUUCGGAUCGUAAAACUCUGUUAUUAGGGAAGAACAAAUGUGUAAGUAACUAUGCACGUCUUGACGGUACCUAAUCAGAAAGCCACGGCUAACUACGUG